This is a non-coding RNA of Bombyx mori (domestic silkworm), 125 nucleotides long. Lineage: Eukaryota; Metazoa; Arthropoda; Insecta; Lepidoptera; Bombycidae. The record is from RefSeq and is marked provisional.
UAUUUUAUUUGAACAACAGAAUGAGCGCACGUUUUCUAAAAAGUAAGAACUGUAACUAGCAGGCUAACAUUAAAUGUUAGCCUUUAAUACUGUAAAACUAUUAAAACGUAAGUCUAUAAUAAAAA